Molecule: ribosomal RNA, 705 nt
Filed under: Klebsiella sp.
Lineage: Bacteria; Pseudomonadati; Pseudomonadota; Gammaproteobacteria; Enterobacterales; Enterobacteriaceae
Description: bacterial SSU rRNA
Rfam family: Bacterial small subunit ribosomal RNA
Source: RNAcentral
AACGCUGGCGGCAGGCCUAACACAUGCAAGUCGAACGGUAGCACAGAGAGCUUGCUCUCGGGUGACGAGUGGCGGACGGGUGAGUAAUGUCUGGGAAACUGCCUGAUGGAGGGGGAUAACUACUGGAAACGGUAGCUAAUACCGCAUAACGUCGCAAGACCAAAGAGGGGGACCUUCGGGCCUCUUGCCAUCAGAUGUGCCCAGAUGGGAUUAGCUAGUAGGUGGGGUAACGGCUCACCUAGGCGACGAUCCCUAGCUGGUCUGAGAGGAUGACCAGCCACACUGGAACUGAGACACGGUCCAGACUCCUACGGGAGGCAGCAGUGGGGAAUAUUGCACAAUGGGCGCAAGCCUGAUGCAGCCAUGCCGCGUGUAUGAAGAAGGCCUUCGGGUUGUAAAGUACUUUCAGCGGGGAGGAAGGCGAUAAGGUUAAUAACCUUGUCGAUUGACGUUACCCGCAGAAGAAGCACCGGCUAACUCCGUGCCAGCAGCCGCGGUAAUACGGAGGGUGCAAGCGUUAAUCGGAAUUACUGGGCGUAAAGCGCACGCAGGCGGUCUGUCAAGUCGGAUGUGAAAUCCCCGGGCUCAACCUGGGAACUGCAUUCGAAACUGGCAGGCUGGAGUCUUGUAGAGGGGGGUAGAAUUCCAGGUGUAGCGGUGAAAUGCGUAGAGAUCUGGAGGAAUACCGGUGGCGAAGGCGGCCCC